This 277-nucleotide unclassified non-coding RNA is filed under the name Hevea brasiliensis (rubber tree). Lineage: Eukaryota; Viridiplantae; Streptophyta; Magnoliopsida; Malpighiales; Euphorbiaceae. The record is from RNAcentral.
AACAAGGGAGACGGUGGAAGUAGCAAAGGAGGAUGGUAAGUUGAUCCACAAAUUUGUCAUCUGAUUUGUGUUACUUGGAAGGACUGAAAGUUCAGGGAUCUGUAUAUAUUGGUUUCUUUGCCCUUUUUUUGUUCUUUUUUAAAUGCACUAUUAAGGUGUGAAAACAGUAGUUUCUUGUGGAACCAUGCACAAGUCCUUAAUUUUCCUUCACUUUUUGGACACUGGUACUAAUGAGCAGAGCUCGACUGAGCAUGGAUAAGGGAACACCUGUUUUAUA